This 292-nucleotide signal recognition particle RNA is filed under the name Saimiri boliviensis boliviensis (Bolivian squirrel monkey). RNAcentral describes it as "Metazoan signal recognition particle RNA (ENSSBOG00000003987.1)". It matches the Rfam family "Metazoan signal recognition particle RNA". Rfam says of the family: The signal recognition particle (SRP) is a universally conserved ribonucleoprotein. It is involved in the co-translational targeting of proteins to membranes. Lineage: Eukaryota; Metazoa; Chordata; Mammalia; Primates; Cebidae. The record is from RNAcentral.
GCCGGUGGCGCAUACCUGUAGUCCCAGCUACUUGGGAGGCUGAAGUGGGAGGAUCACUUGAGGCCAGGAGUUCUGGGCUGUAGCGCACGAUGCCUACCUGGUGUCCGCACUAAGUUCAGUAUCAAUAUGGUGACCUUCCGGGAGCGGGGGACCACCAGGUUGCCUAAGGAGGGCAAACCCGCCCAGGUUGGAAACGGAGCAGGUCAAAACUCCCAUGCUAAUCAUGAGUGAGAUCGCGCUUGUGAAUAGCCACUGCACUCCAGCCUGGGCAACAUAUUGAGACCCUAUCUCU